AACGAACGCUGGCGGCGUGCCUAACACAUGCAAGUCGAGCGAGAAAGUCCCUUCGGGGGCGAGUAGAGCGGCGGACGGGUGAGUAAUACGUGGAUAAUCUUCCCUCGAGUUUGGGAUAACCCUGCGAAAGCGGGGCUAAUACCGGAUAAGACCACAUGGCGUAUGCCACGGGGUAGAAGGUGGCUUGUAUUUAUAUGAGCUAUCACUUGAGGACGAGUCCAUGGCCUAUCAGCUAGUUGGUGAGGUAAGAGCCCACCAAGGCUAUGACGGGUAGCUGGUCUGAGAGGACGACCAGCCACACUGGGACUGAGACACGGCCCAGACUCCUACGGGAGGCAG
RNAcentral lists this ribosomal RNA (339 nucleotides) under uncultured Pseudomonadota bacterium. RNAcentral describes it as "bacterial SSU rRNA". It matches the Rfam family "Bacterial small subunit ribosomal RNA", at positions 29 to 351 of the family's 1533-position model. Lineage: Bacteria; Pseudomonadati; Pseudomonadota. The record is from RNAcentral.